UACGCGAAGAACCUUACCCAGAUUUGACAUGUAUUGGAAUUAUUCAGAAAUGACUAAGCCCUUCGGGGCCGAUACACAGGUGCUGCAUGGCUGUCGUCAGCUCGUGCCGUGAGGUGUUUGGUUAAGUCCAGCAACGAGCGCAACCCUUAUCGUUAGUUGCCAACAGGUAAUGCUGGGAACUCUAGCGAGACUGCCUGGGUUAACCAGGAGGAAGGUGAGGAUGACGUCAAGUCCGCAUGGCCCUUAUAUCUGGGGCUACACACGUGCUACAAUGGCCGGUACAGAAGGCAGCGAAACCGCAAGGUGAAGCAAAUCCAAAAAGCCGGCCCCAGUUCAGAUUGUAGUCUGCAACUCGACUACAUGAAGACGGAAUUGCUAGUAAUGGCGAGUCAGCAACAUCGCCGUGAAUACGUUCCCGGGUCUUGUACACACCG
Molecule: ribosomal RNA, 434 nt
Filed under: uncultured bacterium
Lineage: Bacteria
Description: bacterial SSU rRNA
Rfam family: Bacterial small subunit ribosomal RNA
Source: RNAcentral